UAUUGCUGUCAUUAAUAUUACGAUAGAUUUAAAAAAAAAUCCUUCUAAAUUUAACAUCUUACAGUGAAAACCCGCUUAUAUUCAAAGUUUCAAACAGAGUAUAUUUUCGAAACGCUACACAAUAUUAAUGUUUUUUCGACUGGUAUCUUAUGUAAUU
Molecule: small RNA, 157 nt
Filed under: Arabidopsis thaliana (thale cress)
Lineage: Eukaryota; Viridiplantae; Streptophyta; Magnoliopsida; Brassicales; Brassicaceae
Description: ATSL135680
Source: RNAcentral